UGCCGGAUGGUGAAAUGGCAUCACAGAGGCCUUUGAAGCCUUUGUUCCAGGUUCGAAUCCUGGUCCGGCAACUA
This 74-nucleotide transfer RNA is filed under the name Candidatus Beckwithbacteria bacterium CG2_30_44_31. RNAcentral describes it as "tRNA-Gln". It matches the Rfam family "tRNA". From Rfam's summary of the family: Transfer RNA (tRNA) molecules are approximately 80 nucleotides in length. The record is from RNAcentral. Lineage: Bacteria; Candidatus Beckwithiibacteriota.